UACGUAGGGAGCGAGCGUUGUCCGGAUUCAUUGGGCGUAAAGAGCUCGUAGGCGGUUUGUUGCGUCGGCUGUGAAAUCCCGAGGCUCAACCUCGGGUCUGCAGUCGAUACGAGCAAACUAGAGUGUUGCAGGGGAGACUGGAAUUCCUGGUGUAGCGGUGAAAUGCGCAGAUAUCAGGAGGAACACCGGUGGCGAAGGCGGGUCUCUGGGCAACAACUGACGCUGAGGAGCGAAAGCGUGGGGAGCGAACAGG
RNAcentral lists this ribosomal RNA (253 nucleotides) under uncultured bacterium. RNAcentral describes it as "partial 16S ribosomal RNA". It matches the Rfam family "Bacterial small subunit ribosomal RNA", at positions 524 to 776 of the family's 1533-position model. The record is from RNAcentral.